Long non-coding RNA from Thalassophryne amazonica, 986 nucleotides. RefSeq lists it as uncharacterized. NCBI's taxonomy places the organism in Eukaryota, Metazoa, Chordata, Actinopteri, Batrachoidiformes, Batrachoididae. The record is from RefSeq and is a predicted model, not a curated record. The transcript is spliced from 3 exons.
CCAGUGCACCCGCAGCCAGCAGAGACGCAGAGCAGCAGUUUGCUAUCAAAAACACUCAGAAAACUACUAAAGUUUGGUGAAAACGUAAAACCUGGCCUGUAAGGAGAAGGAGUGCACUCUGUAGCCUUCCGGAGGCAAUUUGCAGUUGUUGCUGCACUGGUUAAAAAGAGAGACUUAAACCUCCGUCUGAGACUGAGGAGAGCAGAGAAACGGCCAGGUUUCUUACUCCACCUAAGAACCACCCCAUUUCCUAGACUUGGACUCGGACCUGAGCUGACAGCAAGGCGAGCCACCCAACAGACAAAUCCCUGGAUCAGUCAACACAGCUGCACAAGGCGCAUGUGCUGCCCGUUGAGCAUCAGAACCUUACUCAUUACCAGACAAAGGUUUGGGUAGAAACAAAAGGAUUCUGCAUUGGAUUAAAGAACAUUUAACGAGACAAGUGAGACUUUGCAAGCUUUUGGACAUUUAGGAAAACUAUUUAUUUGAUUUUGCUCUGCAUUAACUAUUGUCAUUUGAAUGUUUCUUGAUGAAUUAUUUUGUGUACUUUUAAGGGUACAUACAAUGUCAUUACAGAGUGACAAAUACUGUUAUGAAAUUGAUACAAUCAAAUAGUACAAACCUAAAACAAAGCUUAAAUGUAAAUUAAAGCAACAUAAGCUAGGUUUAAAGUGCAAAAACAUGAAAUAAAAUGACCGGUCAUACAUGAAAGCUAAACAGCUUUGAAACAAGAAAAAGAAAAAGUAAAACCUUAACAGAACUUUAUUUCAAAUAGUGAGGUAAAAAAAAGAGGUUUUAUAAAGGAAACUUUUUGAUUUUAAGUUAAUAUUAAUUGUGUGUCUGUCAUUGGUUGUAUUAAAUUUUGCCGGCUUUUCUACAACCCCUGGCAGUCAGUAACGGUUACUUUUUUAGACCAAGCAGAAAAAAAUAUGGACUCACUCAAUUCUGAGGAAUAAAUUAUGGAAUCACCCUGUAAAUUUCCAUCC